RNAcentral lists this transfer RNA (120 nucleotides) under Candidatus Woesearchaeota archaeon. RNAcentral's name for it is "tRNA-Asp". Lineage: Archaea; Nanobdellati; Candidatus Woesearchaeota. The record is from RNAcentral.
GCCGGCGUUGGCCAACCAGGUAGGCCGCCUACUUGUCAGGUAGGUAUCCGAAAGGAUAUCCGGGUUCAAAUAGUUUUCGGUUAGCGGUAGCUGAGAACGUUGAAAGUCCCGGCGCCGGCG